This is a long non-coding RNA of Gallus gallus (chicken), 652 nucleotides long. RefSeq lists it as uncharacterized. The record is from RefSeq and is a predicted model, not a curated record. The transcript is spliced from 3 exons. NCBI's taxonomy places the organism in Eukaryota, Metazoa, Chordata, Aves, Galliformes, Phasianidae.
CUCAAAGGGUCUCCCUUUACAAGGCAGGCAGGACCUUCCCUGAAGAAUUCUCAAAAAGAAUAUCAGGUGACAUGGCCUGUGGAUGUGAUGCUCCUUCUGUGCCACCCUGUGAGACAAGUCAGCUCCGUUGGUUCUGACCUCUGUCCCUGUGGUCAUGCAUGCGCUCUUGGUGACUUUGUGGCACUGAUGGGCAGAUCAACGUUUUCAUGCUUAUAGACCUGGAAGUGGAAGAACUACGGCAAAGCCAGUCGUCAACAUGUGUUAGAAUCAUAGAAUAGCUUGGGCUGGGAGAGCCCUUAGAGAUCAUCUAACUCCAGCCCUGUGCCAUUAGCAGGAACACCUUCCACUGUAUUCAUAGCAUACAGUAUACUAUAAUAGGUUUAAAACCACUUUCUCCGUUAAGUCUGCAAGAACAAGUUUCCAGCAGUUCUGACUACCCAACACUGCCAGGAGAACUUCAGUAUAAAAUGAGUAAACUUUUCACAGACUUGUGGGUGAAGUGCUUACUCUUCGAUUGUUCAUAAGGGGGACUCAGAAGACCUGUUGCCAGCCCUGGUAAUAAUACCAUGAGCAGGGCUGCGAAUAUUUUCCGCAGUACUGUGAUGCAAUUUCUUUGAUCCACUUUACAGCAAAUAAAGCUCCAGUGCAAUUA